CUAGAAACAGGAGUGGAACCUACCUCACCUGAAACAGAUGACUUCUUGGAGAAGAGGGAAUAUUUUAAAAAAUCAGGAUUCUGGAUGGUUUAGAGAAUCACCAGGAAGUCAGGAACAAAGAGUUCCUGGGCAGCUGGCACCACAGUGCAGAUCAUGACAUGGAACACAGAGGAAUGGCUGCUGCCAUCUUUGACCAUGGGAUGCCACAUCUCGAAACACCAACUCUGCUGGUCCCCAGAGCCCAGAUACAGCUACUUGUGCUUCUAUCACCGUGUCCCUGGAAACAGAUGUUGCUGCUAUUACUGGAACUGCCAUAAAAGAUUCUCUGCUGCCUGGCUUUUUUGCUCCCCAAUCUGAGCUUAUGAUAAAUGCCUCACUGUUGCUGCAAGGAGGGGGCCAAUACCCAGGACAACAGGACAGCCAAAAACAAACAAACAAACAAAUGAACAAACAGAAAAGUUCCAGACUCUGGUGAAACACAUGUUUCAGGCCCCUCAGCAAGAGUGGACAAGACAAACAUCUUUACAAGCCCCAACGACCUAAUGUAUAGACCCUUUGUGUGCUUCUGUGGAAUGUCUCCUACAUCAACCCUGGGAGAGUGGGGACCUCCAGAGAAACGGUGUGGGGAGGCCAGUGUGCAGAGAUCUCAGUCCCUGAGCAGGUAGGUUUGCUGGUGGGAGGGAACUGAGUUUAGACCUAGAAAAGGACCACUGAGUGCAAUGAGAUAGGACGGCCCAAGGGCUGUUGAUUUGAACGCCCAUGUGUUUAUAUUCUGGUGUGACUUCUGAUCUGUUAUUUCAUUUUAGGCAUGCUAUUUAAACUUUUUGAGUUUCCUUCUCUGUAAAACAAGAAAAAUAAUAUAUACCUUAUCAGCUAUAGGAAGAAUUUAAUGGGAUGAGGCAAGUUAAAAAUAGUGUGCAUAAUUCUAGCACAUUUAAAUGCUAAGAAGGUGAUUCCUACAAGAAAAGAAAAGGUAUGGCAAUUCAGGUAUGGUUCUAGCAAGUCUAGCUUCUGGGAGGACAAAUCCCUGUGGUCUGACUGCCAAAUUGUACCUCAGUUCACAAGUUUGCUAGAGCUGCAGUCAGGGUCAAGAUGGUGUCUGUGUGCAUUAGAAACAUGGUGUUCAGGACGCAGGAAGUGGAAUCAGGCUGAGGGAAGGAAGGUGGCAGGGACCAGGUAGAUUCUAGGCACCAGUCCUAGAGGGUCCCAGGGUAGCAGGCAGCAGGACUGGCUACAUAAUUUGCCAGGCUCCCUGCAAAAUGAAAAUGUGGGGCCUCUUACUGAAAAAUAAGAAUUUCAAGACAGCAAUAGCAGAGCAUUAAACCAAGCAUGGAGCCUUUUUGAGCACAGCCCCUUCUGAACACAGGGUCUUGUGCAAUGGCAUAGAUUGCAGGUUCAUGAAACAAGUCCUUCAAGGUUUGAGACAAUGGGGAAUUCAGAAUAAAGUCCAGCCUGAGAAAGGCAGAGUCCUGCUGAGUCUCAAGGCAGUGCCGCUGAGCCCUGAUGUGCAUAGGAAUCACUCGCCCCUUUAUGUUAAUACUAUUACUGAUAACAAAUAACAACACCAGUGAUAGCAUUACCUUAGUAGCCUGUAUUUAUUGAGCACAAAUCAUGUGCUAGAAGCAAAGCUAAGUAUUUUACAAUGCAUUGUCUUUUUCUCCCUGGUUUGAAAAGAAUUAAUAAUACCAACCUAUGCCAGGUGAUUGUCAGUGAUCUUAUUAUAUAUUAACUUAUUUAAAGGCAUAUAAACGUUUUACUAUUAUUUUUCAUGCAUCAUCUUGCUUGUGCCUUCCAUCAUCCCUAUAGCUGGUACCAGCACAUUAUGCCCAUUUGACAGAUAUGGAAACUGAAAUUGAGGAAGGUUCAGUAACUUGCCUGUAUCUGUCUGGGUCCAGAGUCCACGCUCUCAAGCUCUCAAGUAGUUGGUCCUCAUUAUAAAUAAACUGAAAGGGAUUGAAUGUUGGCUAACACUAAACAAUUUACAACAUGCUUUCAUUCAUGGUAACUCACUACAGCCACCUGGGAAGCAUUGCUGGUAUCCAGUUUAUGGAUGAAGAGAUUGAGGCCUGGGGGUAAGUGAGCUGUCCAAGUUCACAGCCAGUAAGUGGGAGAAGCCAAGCCCAGGGGCUGGGGGCUCUGUGAGAACAACGUGCUGCCUCUUUUUCAUUGGAGGGACAAUGGAAUGAGGUGUAUGCAAGGAUCUGCAUCCAGCUCCCGAGUCUGAUGAGUUCUGGCAGUGGCUCCAGGGAAAGGAGGAGUCCAGGAACAGAGCUGGUGGGGGAGGCGCUCCCAGGAGUGGCCUUCCCAACAGCAGGUGCUGCACUCCUGCUGCCACUGAGGAGUCACACGUUCCCUCUUCUGAAGGACUCUCCCCUAUUUCUGCCCCUCCCCAAAAGGUGCCUUGAGCUGUCCAGAAGAGACAAACCGAAGCCCUGCACUGGAAGGGAGGAAAAGAGAGAGGAACCCCUCCCCCCAGCAAGGAGCGGAGUUAGCUGAAAACUGCACCGAUCCCCUCUUGGGCUCUUCCUUGGCUGCUGCCCCUUCGGCGCAACUGCCCUUCCUCUUGGGCUUCGGCAGUGGGAAGAGAGCGAGCCGGGUGCUUUUGAGCUGCAGUGCGCGGAGAGGCUUCGCGAGGCUGGGCUCAGUAUUCGUUAAUGAUCAAACAAUUAUUUAUGUUGACAGCCCACAUCUCCCUUUCCGUAGUUUCCAUCUGAAGACUUAGCUCUACCCUUCUGGUGCAGAACAGGAAAGCCUAAUCUGUCUUCCCUGAGAUUCAAGAAAUUCAAGAGGCUGCUCCUCCUGGGGCCUCUGUCGGUAUCCUCCUUGUUGCUCCUAGUUAAACUCUUAUUCCUCAGGUAAGAUGGUGCUGAGUCUACUCACCAUCGGACUGUGGUGUCUAGUAUUGGACACCACAUCCCUGAUGUGCCCUGACACCUCAGUGCUCUCCCACAUAGAACCUAGUGGGCACUGUGUCCCCGCAUCUAUCUGAAGAACUGCUCAAGAGGCUUUGUGGGAGGUCUAGCUCCUCCUCACCCCCUCCAGGCUUGACAUGCCUCCACCCCCACCACCCCGUACCCUUCGCAGCAUACUUCCAGUCAGGCAGCAAUCAGCUUGCACCUGAGAGGGAUCAGCUGUGGUGACUGAGGCUGGCUUGCUCUUGCAGCCCCAGGAACACAGAGAUUCGUGCUGAAGAACCAAAUGGUUUCUACAGUACAAGCAGGCGCCAGGGACUCCGCAGGAGGCAUCACUGGCACCUUCUAAUUGAUGAGCAGUCCAGCUCUGAAGCUGUGGGCUCUAAAGCCAGAUACCUCCUCCAGGUGACUCUGAUCUUCCUCUCCCAGCUGAAUAGAGUGAACUUCAGCGUUUCUGGCCUCCAGUUCCUGAACUCUGCUUCUUCCAAGGCAGCUGCAUAGGUCAUCAAAGAGCUGGAAGCCAAGCACCCUCCUCCAUGUUCUUUCUACUGUACCACGUGGCUUGUGUCGAUACAGACCCUUGGGCUGGACCAAUCCUGGAAGAUCAAGAGCUGACUGGGCCAAGGAGAUGCCAUGAGAUGCAUGCUGAGGCUUCCAGAGGAGACUCUUCCACUCCUGCCAGCUAGACUUGAAGCUGGGAAGAUGGGAUCCUGGAGGCAGGAAGCCAUCUAUCCACCAUGUGGAGCCUAAAUCAACAAGGUAGAACCCAGAGAAGGAAGAAAUUGAGUCCUGAUGAUACCAUUUGAUGCCUGAAUCCAGCUGUACCUGAAACUAGAUUUAUUCCCUGGAACUUUCAGUUUUGAAAGCUGAUAAAUUCCUUUUGCACUUAAGUCAUUUUUGAAUUAGAAUUCCUGUCUCUGGCAACUGAAAAAAUCUCAACUGAAAUGCCUGGACAAGAGACAGAGCACUGCAGUCACCUUUACCAAUCAUUAGGCUGGCAUUCCCACUUUACAAUGUGACUUUUGAACCUGGUUAUGUGAGUUUGCUGCUGAAAAAUGACUUUGGGGUGCACUGCAAAAUUUCACUUGCUAAACUCAGAUGGCUGAGAACCUGGCUGGGGUACAACCCACCCAUGAAAGACACUUCUUGAGAACUUGGUUGGGGUAUAACCCAUCUAUGAAAGUCCCUUCCCGAGUGGCCAUUUCUGGCACUGAGUGACAUCUCUGUGGUCACUGUGGUUGGUACCUUAUUUGUGUCUUCUAAUCACCAAUGUGUCCCUGUGAACCCCCAUCCUUCAUGACAGGGCUGGGGAAGACAGCAAGUACUAGCUCACAUAUCACUCAUCCCUUUAUUCAUUCAGGCAUUCUUUAUUUAUCAAAUAAGUGAACAAGGAAAUGGUAAUAAAUCCAGUUCGUUGACUGAGGUGGGAGUAAUAUUCGAAAUACUGCAUUUUACAACCAGUGUGGUCUACCACAGAAGCUGUAGUACCUGAACAUUUCCAUGUGAGGGCGCCUCCGGGGGAUGCUGGCCUGCACCAGGGACCUUAGCCCAGCCCAGCAUACACCUACAGGGGAGUCAGUGCCAAAUGCCAUCAGGGAACUGUUUCUCUUCAGGGCUCUGGCCAGGAGACAUGUGAGCAAGGAGGUUGGCUGGUGCAUG
Molecule: long non-coding RNA, 4571 nt
Filed under: Homo sapiens (human)
Lineage: Eukaryota; Metazoa; Chordata; Mammalia; Primates; Hominidae
Description: HSALNT0361406
Source: RNAcentral